GCGGGAGUAGCUCAGUGGUAGAGCAUCUGCUUCCCAAGCAGAGGGCCGAGGGUUCGAACCCCUUCUCCCGCUCCA
Molecule: transfer RNA, 75 nt
Filed under: Chloroflexota bacterium
Lineage: Bacteria; Bacillati; Chloroflexota
Description: Chloroflexi bacterium tRNA-Gly
Rfam family: tRNA
About the family: Transfer RNA (tRNA) molecules are approximately 80 nucleotides in length. Their secondary structure includes four short double-helical elements and three loops (D, anti-codon, and T loops).
Source: RNAcentral